CGGUGAAGUGUCAAACAAAGAAAAAUUUUUAAUCGCAUGUUCUUUAUACAAUAACAGCAUCCAUACAGCUACCAACAUGAAACCACGUGAAAUUUUAUAUGCAGCCAAAAAUGGACAGGAGAGACCGAUAGAAAUGGAACGCCUUGUUGAACUUCGUGACAAGUUGAAGCGAGAGGAUCCGCCAAAACUAAAACAAAACGAAUUGGCAUAUAACCGCAUCCAAGGAGUGAAGUCGAAAAUUAAGGACCGCUACCAACAAGUGCGAGUACGAUCUAACCGGAAACACACGUACAAAGAUAUCCUAAGUCGAAAAUUGCAUAAAGAAAAACUGCGACGAAUCCGAAAGUAACACCACAGAAUCUCUAAUGUGUUUUUUCAUUUGUUUUCUCUUUUUAGAUGACGUUUAUUUGGAAUAUCCUGAUAACAACCACAUUCCUUACUCAGCUAUCCCAACCACAAUCCAUCCACGUCAUUAAUCUCAAACAAAACCCCGGUCUUUUAACCAUAGAAACUGGCAACAGUUUUAUAAAAAAUAGGCAAUCACAGAUUGUUUCAUAUCCUAGAACUGGAUAAUUACGAACCUAUUUUUAGAAAAUUGCUUGCUAAUAUCCAAGGAAUACGGACAUUCUCAAAUUUUACUGAUAUGUUUGAAAUCUUAGAAUCGAAAUAUGGAACCGUUCACAGUUUAUUCAAUAAUCUUCGGCCAAAGCAAAGAAGUAAAAGAGGAUUAUUUAAUUUUCUCGGAACUGGAAUAAAAAGAAUUACAGGAAAUAUGGACCAUAACGACUAUGAACAAAUUUCGAAAAAUAUUUUUGAACUGCAGAUCAAGAACAAAAGACUUAUUAACGAAAACAACGAACAGCUUAAAAUUAAUCUACAACUCCAAAAUAGAAUCAAUUCCAUUAUCAACCGUUUAAAUCAACAA
This is a long non-coding RNA of Aedes aegypti (yellow fever mosquito), 925 nucleotides long. RefSeq lists it as uncharacterized. The transcript has 2 exons. The record is from RefSeq and is a predicted model, not a curated record. Lineage: Eukaryota; Metazoa; Arthropoda; Insecta; Diptera; Culicidae.